AAAAGCUGGAUUAGGUUCGCAACGAGUCAAUCUUGUUUGUUAAACAAACCUUCUCAUUUGCGUUGGAGUUUUUAUCUGGUAGGAGCAGCGGUUUAUACUUUUAAAUUAUAUGAACCGACAGGACUUCUCCGUGGAUUCUUCAUUGUUUCCUGAAAUUUGGGCAUCAAUGGCGAAACUAAUCUGUGGUGGAUCAUGAUUCAGGAAGAGUGCUGGCAUUAUGAUUUCGAUUGAAAUGUAUUGAUUCAUGCUUUCUGCAUGCAUGCGCAUCACCAUUUCAAAGCUGUGGAACUUGAACGGUGUCUUUGUAUUCUCAGGGCCAACUACAUGGUUCGCAUCCUUGGUGCUACUCAACGAUGACAAAUUUGACCCUUGACCGUAUCUUAUUGUAUAUUUGAUUAAAAUCAAAUCAACUAAUUGUAUUAUUUCUUUUGGUAUGUUAUUUGAAUGUGGAUACUGAUAAUGAUGGUGGCAAGUGGAAAUUUACGUAUAGAUGAAAGUCAAAUUUUUACGGAAUCAUGCUUUCUGCGAGCAUGUGUAUCACCAUUUUAAAGCUGUGGAAAUUGAACGGUUUUUCGUGUA
Helianthus annuus (common sunflower) is the source of this 579-nucleotide long non-coding RNA. RefSeq lists it as uncharacterized. The record is from RefSeq and is a predicted model, not a curated record. The transcript is spliced from 2 exons. NCBI's taxonomy places the organism in Eukaryota, Viridiplantae, Streptophyta, Magnoliopsida, Asterales, Asteraceae.